Anthonomus grandis grandis is the source of this 908-nucleotide long non-coding RNA. RefSeq lists it as uncharacterized. Lineage: Eukaryota; Metazoa; Arthropoda; Insecta; Coleoptera; Curculionidae. The record is from RefSeq and is a predicted model, not a curated record. The transcript has 2 exons.
CAAAAACAUAAUAUUUUAUGUAAAUUUAUUCCCGCAAAAAAAGCGCAAAACAAUGCGACUCAUGCACCAAGGGGCCAGAAUAUACCAUCUUCUAAAGCUGCCUUAACCAAUCUAUUUAAAAUACUAAUGGCUGUGCAGGAGACACUACCCUAACCUUAAUUAAAUCACCCUCCAGUUUCAAUUUUUUGUUUAUUUACUGUAUGAAGUAUAACCUAAAUAAUUAUUUACAUUUAAUAUUAUUCUUAAAUUAAAUCAUAUUUGUUAAACUCUGAAUGGUCCUGAGUGCAGUCUAUAAUGCAGGAGGUAGACAAAUGUCCUUUGUGUAGACAAGCACUAACUGUUCAACAAAUAAAUUUUAAAUCGGCAAUAGUGAUGUGUCUUAACACUAAGUGCCCCUACCCUUUUCCUGGAGAGUCUAUAGUUAUUAACCGAAGUAUGAAAGACAUUAAAAAAUCCAUAGAUAUAAAAAAGCUAGUUGAAAAUGAAAGGGUUACAAAUGCAAGGAAUUUACAAAAUUCAGAAUACAUAUUUACUUCGGAAUUAGAAGACGCAAUAAUUUCACAAGAAAUUUAUCAAAACAGGGAGAAGAGUGUGAUAGAGAGUGAAAGUGGCUGUUCAAAACAAAGAUCUCCAAUGAGUAAGCAUCCAAUUGAAAUAUCGGAGCUUGAUGAAUUUUUAGCUCAAUUGCUUCAAUAACUUUACAAGUUACUAUGGUAAUUUACUGCCAAUAGGGUAAGCUAUACAGUGAUUGGGCACUUAAGAAACUUACUGCAAAUAAUAAAGUUGUUUAUUCAGAUUUAAAUCAAAUGUAUGCAUAUAUUUUUGUGGUUUAAUGGAGAGUUCUAACCAGUUUUUUUUUAAAUUACUAUUUAUAUAAAUGUUUUUGAAAUUAAAAAAAAUAAGAAUAA